This 384-nucleotide ribosomal RNA is filed under the name Choanoflagellata sp. RNAcentral describes it as "partial small subunit ribosomal RNA". It matches the Rfam family "Eukaryotic small subunit ribosomal RNA", at positions 582 to 975 of the family's 1831-position model. Lineage: Eukaryota; Choanoflagellata. The record is from RNAcentral.
AUUCCAGCUCCAAUAGCGUAUAUUAAAGUUGUUGCGGUUAAAAAGCUCGUAGUUGGAGUUCUGGGCCGUUUGUUGGUCUGCCGCAAGGCUGUACUAGCGGGAUGGCCCAUCCUCUCGAAGGCUGGGGGUGCUCUUAACUGGGUGCUUUCAGAACUCGGGAUCUUUACUUUGAAAAAAUUAGAGUGUUCAAAGCAGGCUUACGCUUGAAUACAUUAGCAUGGAAUAAUGGAAUAGGACUUUGGUUCUAUUUUGUUGGUUUCUAGAACUGAAGUAAUGAUUAAUAGGGAUAGUUGGGGGCAUUAGUAUUUAAUUGUCAGAGGUGAAAUUCUUGGAUUUAUGAAAGACUAACUUCUGCGAAAGCAUUUGCCAAGGAUGUUUUCAUCG